GCAUAUCAAUAAGCGGAGGAAAAGAAACUAACAAGGAUUCCCCUAGUAGCGGCGAGCGAAGCGGGAAGAGCUCAAAUUUAUAAUCUGGCACCUUCGGUGUCCGAGUUGUAAUCUCUAGAAAUGUUUUCCGCGUUGGACCGCACACAAGUCUGUUGGAAUACAGCGGCAUAGUGGUGAGACCCCCGUAUAUGGUGCGGACGCCCAGCGCUUUGUGAUACAUUUUCGAAGAGUCGAGUUGUUUGGGAAUGCAGCUCAAAUUGGGUGGUAAAUUCCAUCUAAAGCUAAAUAUUGGCGAGAGACCGAUGGCGAACAAGUACCGUGAGGGAAAGAUGAAAAGCACUUUGGAAAGAGAGUUAACAGUACGUGAAAUUGUUGGAAGGGAAACGCUUGAAGUCAGACUUGCUUGCCGAGCAAUCGGUUUGCAGGCCAGCAUCAGUUUUCCGGGAUGGAUAAUGGUAGAGAGAAGGUAGCAGUUUCGGCUGUGUUAUAGCUCUCUGCUGGAUACAUCUUGGGGGACUGAGGAACGCAGUGUGCCUUUGGCGGGGGUUUCGACCUCUUCACACUUAGGAUGCUGGUGGAAUGGCUUUAAACGACCCGUCUUGAAACACGGACC
Molecule: ribosomal RNA, 613 nt
Filed under: Rhodotorula mucilaginosa
Lineage: Eukaryota; Fungi; Basidiomycota; Microbotryomycetes; Sporidiobolales; Sporidiobolaceae
Description: eukaryotic LSU rRNA
Rfam family: Eukaryotic large subunit ribosomal RNA
Source: RNAcentral